RNAcentral lists this long non-coding RNA (464 nucleotides) under Phoenix dactylifera (date palm). Its description in RNAcentral is "long non-coding RNA (PDAC_LNC019966)". The record is from RNAcentral. Lineage: Eukaryota; Viridiplantae; Streptophyta; Magnoliopsida; Arecales; Arecaceae.
GGGAAGUAUUUUCCCUCCUAGGAAUAUGAUUCCUGGAAAUCAGAUUCCUAGGAAGAGGAUACCUAGGAAAGUACUUUUGACAUGUUUGGUUAACCAUGGGAAAGUGACUAAUUUCCAAAGUGCUUAUGUUUGGUUGACCAUCCACUUUCCUAGGAAAGUUAUGUAUAAUUCCUAUUAUGCCAUUAAUAAAAAUUAGGUCUUUAAUGCCUCUUUAAUGCUUCUUUAAUGCUGAAGGGUCUUUUUGGAAAAAAAUAAAAAAGGAGUGAUUCCCACCUCAUGGGAAAGUAACUUUCCCAUGUUUCUCAUGGGAAAGACUUUUCCAUGAAAUGUGGGAAUCAUAUUCCCAUGGGAAUACCACUUUCCCAUCUCUCUCCUUUGAAAACUCCAACCAAACAAGAGGCAUUUCAUUACUUUCCCGUUGACCACACUUUCCCCCCUCGUUUUCCUGCGAACCAAACGAGCCC